GAUCAUGGCUCAGAUUGAACGCUAGGCGGCAUGCCUUACACAUGCAAGUCGAACGGCAGCGGGCCUUCGGGUGCCGGCGAGUGGCGAACGGGUGAGUAAUGCAUCGGAACGUGCCAUUGAGUGGGGGAUAACGUAGCGAAAGUUGCGCUAAUACCGCAUAUUCUGUGAGCAGGAAAGCAGGGGACCGCAAGGCCUUGCGCUCUUUGAGCGGCCGAUGUCAGAUUAGCUAGUUGGUGAGGUAAAGGCUUACCAAGGCGACGAUCUGUAGCGGGUCUGAGAGGAUGAUCCGCCACACUGGAACUGAGACACGGUCCAGACUCCUACGGGAGGCAGCAGUGGGGAAUUUUUGGACAAUGGGGGCAACCCUGAUCCAGCCAUGCCGCGUGAGUGAAGAAGGCCUUCGGGUUGUAAAGCUCUUUCGGCCGGGAAGAAAUCGCAUGGGUGAAUACCCUGUGUGGAUGACGGUACCGGAACAAGAAGCACCGGCUAACUACGUG
RNAcentral lists this ribosomal RNA (497 nucleotides) under uncultured bacterium. Its description in RNAcentral is "bacterial SSU rRNA". It matches the Rfam family "Bacterial small subunit ribosomal RNA", at positions 15 to 507 of the family's 1533-position model. The record is from RNAcentral.